This 402-nucleotide ribosomal RNA is filed under the name uncultured bacterium. RNAcentral describes it as "partial 16S ribosomal RNA". It matches the Rfam family "Bacterial small subunit ribosomal RNA", at positions 30 to 525 of the family's 1533-position model. The record is from RNAcentral.
AUUGAACGCUGGCGGCAGGCCUAACACAUGCAAGUCGAGCGAGCGGCGGACGGGUGAGUAAUGUAUGGGGACUGCCCGAUAGAGGGUGAUAAACACUGGACACGGUGGCUAAUACCGCAUAUUCUCGGAUAACCCACAGUGGAUUAGCUAGUAGGUAAGGUAAUGGCUUACCUAGGCGACGAUCCCUAGCUGGUCUGAGAGGAUGAUCAGCCACACUGGGACUGAGACACGGCCCAGACUCCUACGGAGGCAGCAGUGGGGAAUAUUGCACAAUGGGCGCAAGCCUGAUGCAGCCAUGCCGCGUGUAUGAAGAAGGCCCUAGGGUUGUAAAGUACUUUCAGUCGGGAGGCGUUACCGACAGAAGAAGCACCGGCUAACUCCGUGCCAGCAGCCGCGGUAAUC